AAGUGUAUAGAAAAAACAAUGUGACAUUUUUUUAAUAUCUCUGUUUGUGUUCCACAGAAGAAAGGCAAUGGCGAUUUUCAUUUUUGAGUGAGCUCUCCCUUCAUGUCUCCAAAUACAUCUUGGGGCCAACUGUUCAUGUACAUACGCACAGAAGGUCAGAGGAUCCUUGACAAUCGAAGCGAUGAGCUCUACACCUCUUCGUUCUCACUUCGCUGAAACGCUUCACCAAAAAUCUCAGCGCCGCCAUUACAUCCACCUACUCUAGAAGAGAGAAGUGAAAGAUUACUGCGUGUGGCUCAUUAGGAAUGUUUUAUUUUGUCUGCAAUUUUUUUCCCCCCGUCUAUUGUCUCUCCACCCUCUCAGCAAAAGUCUCGGCGGAAUCACAGCCCUGGGUGCAUCGCAGCGAUGAGAUAAAUGCAGAAAAUGAACUGGAAGAAAACAGGGAGGCGAGAAAAACGCGCGGCUGGCCGACGCUGGCCGAAAACUCAAAGGAGAGAUGGUUACACUGCAUCGCCAGCUUGCCUCAUCUGAUUCCCUGACUCCUGACCUCCCCUGAGGAAGGUGCUCACUGUCAGAAGAACCCCCGGCAUCCUACCGCCACAGAAAGGUGAUUCCUUUAAAGCGCCAGAAACGGAUGAAGGAGCGAGAGGGGGCUGCGCGAGGCGGGCAGACGGGGAGGGGAGCUGUCGCUUGUGUCAGGUUAACCUCAGAGACACAUCCGGAGCUCAGCAUCUGGGAGACGGAGGGGAGAGAGGCACCGUCGCUCCAUUUAGUGCAAGUGAGUUUUGCAUUAAGCAUCCUGCAAUGGCUUUCAUCAGCUUCUUUCUUUCUCACCUCCACUCCCUCCCCCAAAAUUAAAAAAGGCUAAAACGCUAAACUUUGUGCACUGUCAGUCCCACGGGCUGUGUUUAAUCCCAGAUUUAUGCUAGCAGCAUUGCAGCGUUAAGUGUUAAAGAGAGAGAGGAAGAAAGAAAGAGCUUUGCAUGCAGAAAGGAAGAAAAUGAUACUGAUGUUUGUGCAGCACAUGUGUUAAGUCACUCACACGCCACAAUAACACUUGAAAUUGCGGCAGCUGGUGCUGUUAAACAUGCAAACUCUUGUUCCGGUUUCACCAUGGCAGCAACAGAUAGCAACAAAAGUCCCGUUGAGGUCUUUAAGGUAACCCAUUAUGAUGUUUUCAAUUCUUUGAUAUUAUAUUCUGUAUUAUAUAAUUUUAGUAAAAUUAAAUGUAUUAUACGCACAAGUUUCUUUUAUUAAAAAGGUCCUGUAAAGUUUAAAUAGCCUUCUGUGUAAGAGAAAAAUAAAAGUCACUCUCUUGCAUUACUGGUUGACUGUGUGGACAUAUGUAUAUCUCUCUCUCUUUUUUUUUUUUU
Molecule: long non-coding RNA, 1373 nt
Organism: Cyprinus carpio (common carp)
Lineage: Eukaryota; Metazoa; Chordata; Actinopteri; Cypriniformes; Cyprinidae
Exons: 3
Source: RefSeq, a predicted model, not a curated record